Molecule: ribosomal RNA, 253 nt
Filed under: uncultured bacterium
Lineage: Bacteria
Description: partial 16S ribosomal RNA
Rfam family: Bacterial small subunit ribosomal RNA
Source: RNAcentral
UACGUAGGGCGCAAGCGUUGUCCGGAAUUAUUGGGCGUAAAGAGCUCGUAGGCGGUUUGUCGCGUCUGCUGUGAAAACUCGAGGCUCAACCCCGGACUUGCGGUGGGUACGGGCAGACUAGAGUGUGGUAGGGGAGACUGGAAUUCCUGGUGUAGCGGUGAAAUGCGCAGAUAUCAGGAGGAACACCGGUGGCGAAGGCGGAUCUCUGGGCCAUUACUGACGCUGAGGAGCGAAAGCGUGGGGAGCGAACAGG